UACGGAGGGGGCCAGCGUUGUUCGGAAUCAUUGGGCGUAAAGGGCGCGUAGGCGGCUUUGUAAGUCCGUUGUGAAAUCCCUCGGCUCAACCGAGGAACUGCGACGGAUACUGCUUGGCUUGAGUCCCGGAGAGGGUAGCGGAAUUCCCAGUGUAGCGGUGAAAUGCGUAGAUAUUGGGAGGAACAUCGGUGGCGAAGGCGGCUACCUGGACGGGUACUGACGCUGAUGCGCGAAAGCUAGGGGAGCAAAC
Molecule: ribosomal RNA, 250 nt
Filed under: uncultured bacterium
Lineage: Bacteria
Description: partial 16S ribosomal RNA
Rfam family: Bacterial small subunit ribosomal RNA
Source: RNAcentral